UCAAAAAAACAAUCUCAGUUCAGACUGCAGGCUGCAACUCGCCUGCACGAAGUCGGAAUUGCUAGUAAUCGUAGGUCAGCAUACUACGGUGAAUACGUUCCCGGGCCUUGUACACACCGCCCGUCAAACCAUGAGAGUUGGCAACACCCGAAGUCGGUAGUCUAACCGCAAGGAGGACGCCGCCGAAGGUGGGGUUGAUGAUUAGGGUUAAGUCGUAACAAGGUACC
RNAcentral lists this ribosomal RNA (227 nucleotides) under uncultured bacterium. RNAcentral's name for it is "partial 16S ribosomal RNA". It matches the Rfam family "Bacterial small subunit ribosomal RNA", at positions 1274 to 1500 of the family's 1533-position model. The record is from RNAcentral.